UUUGGUGAUUGUAGCGGUGGGGGUACACCCGGAUCCAUCCCGAACCCGGUAGUUAAGCCCACUAGCGCCGAUGGUACUUGGGGUGCAGACCCUUGGGAGAGUAGGUUAUUGCCAAAU
RNAcentral lists this ribosomal RNA (117 nucleotides) under Anaerolineales bacterium HSG24. The record is from RNAcentral. Lineage: Bacteria; Bacillati; Chloroflexota; Anaerolineae; Anaerolineales.